RNAcentral lists this ribosomal RNA (293 nucleotides) under uncultured bacterium. Its description in RNAcentral is "partial 16S ribosomal RNA". It matches the Rfam family "Archaeal small subunit ribosomal RNA", at positions 455 to 747 of the family's 1478-position model. The record is from RNAcentral.
GUGCCAGCCGCCGCGGUAAUACCGGCAGUUCGAGUGAUGGCCGAUAUUAUUGGGCCUAAAGCGUCCGUAGCUGGCCACACAAGUUCGUCGGGAAACCUACCCGCUUAACGGGUAGCCGUCCGGCGAAAACUGUGUGGCUUGGGACCGGGAGACUCGAGGGGUACGUCCGGGGUAGGAGUGAAAUCCUGUAAUCCUGGACGGACCACCGAUGGCGAAAGCACCUCGAGAGCACGGAUCCGACAGUGAGGGACGAAAGCUGGGGUCUCGAACCGGAUUAGAAACCCGGGUAGUCC